AACGAACGCUGGCGGCAUGCCUAACACAUGCAAGUCGAACGAAGACUUCGGCCUUAGUGGCGCACGGGUGCGUAACGCGUGGGAAUCUGCCCUUGGGUUCGGAAUAACUCAGAGAAAUUUGAGCUAAUACCGGAUGAUGACGUAAGUCCAAAGAUUUAUCGCCCAAGGAUGAGCCCGCGUAAGAUUAGCUAGUUGGUGGGGUAAAGGCCUACCAAGGCGACGAUCUUUAGCUGGUCUGAGAGGAUGACCAGUCACACCGGAACUGAGACACGGUCCGGACUCCUACGGGAGGCAGCAGUGGGGAAUAUUGGACAAUGGGCGCAAGCCUGAUCCAG
This 335-nucleotide ribosomal RNA is filed under the name uncultured bacterium. RNAcentral describes it as "bacterial SSU rRNA". It matches the Rfam family "Bacterial small subunit ribosomal RNA", at positions 29 to 391 of the family's 1533-position model. The record is from RNAcentral.